UUAAUUUGAGAGUUUGAUCCUGGCUCAGGACGAACGCUGGCGGCGUGCCUAAUACAUGCAAGUCGAACGAACUCUGGUAUUGAUUGGUGCUUGCAUCAUGAUUUACAUUUGAGUGAGUGGCGAACUGGUGAGUAACACGUGGGAAACCUGCCCAGAAGCGGGGGAUAACACCUGGAAACAGAUGCUAAUACCGCAUAACAACUUGGACCGCAUGGUCCGAGCUUGAAAGAUGGCUUCGGCUAUCACUUUUGGAUGGUCCCGCGGCGUAUUAGCUAGAUGGUGGGGUAACGGCUCACCAUGGCAAUGAUACGUAGCCGACCUGAGAGGGUAAUCGGCCACAUUGGGACUGAGACACGGUCCAAACUCCUACGGGAGGCAGCAGUAGGGAAUCUUCCACAAUGGACGAAAGUCUGAUGGAGCAACGCCGCGUGAGUGAAGAAGGGUUUCGGCUCGUAAAACUCUGUUGUUAAAGAAGAACAUAUCUGAGAGUAACUGUUCAGGUAUUGACGGUAUUUAACCAGAAAGCCACGGCUAACUACGUGCCAGCAGCCGCGGUAAUACGUAGGUGGCAAGCGUUGUCCGGAUUUAUUGGGCGUAAAGCGAGCGCAGGCGGUUUUUUAAGUCUGAUGUGAAAGCCUUCGGCUCAACCGAAGAAGUGCAUCGGAAACUGGGAAACUUGAGUGCAGAAGAGGACAGUGGAACUCCAUGUGUAGCGGUGAAAUGCGUAGAUAUAUGGAAGAACACCAGUGGCGAAGGCGGCUGUCUGGUCUGUAACUGACGCUGAGGCUCGAAAGUAUGGGUAGCAAACAGGAUUAGAUACCCUGGUAGUCCAUACCGUAAACGAUGAAUGCUAAGUGUUGGAGGGUUUCCGCCCUUCAGUGCUGCAGCUAACGCAUUAAGCAUUCCGCCUGGGGAGUACGGCCGCAAGGCUGAAACUCAAAGGAAUUGACGGGGGCCCGCACAAGCGGUGGAGCAUGUGGUUUAAUUCGAAGCUACGCGAAGAACCUUACCAGGUCUUGACAUACUAUGCAAAUCUAAGAGAUUAGACGUUCCCUUCGGGGACAUGGAUACAGGUGGUGCAUGGUUGUCGUCAGCUCGUGUCGUGAGAUGUUGGGUUAAGUCCCGCAACGAGCGCAACCCUUAUUAUCAGUUGCCAGCAUUAAGUUGGGCACUCUGGUGAGACUGCCGGUGACAAACCGGAGGAAGGUGGGGAUGACGUCAAAUCAUCAUGCCCCUUAUGACCUGGGCUACACACGUGCUACAAUGGAUGGUACAACGAGUUGCGAACUCGCGAGAGUAAGCUAAUCUCUUAAAGCCAUUCUCAGUUCGGAUUGUAGGCUGCAACUCGCCUACAUGAAGUCGGAAUCGCUAGUAAUCGCGGAUCAGCAUGCCGCGGUGAAUACGUUCCCGGGCCUUGUACACACCGCCCGUCACACCAUGAGAGUUUGUAACACCCAAAGUCGGUGGGGUAACCUUUUAGGAACCAGCCGCCUAAGGUGGGACAGAUGAUUAGGGUGAAGUCGUAACAAGGUAGCCGUAGGAGAACCUGCGGCUGGAUCACCUCCUUUCUAAGGAA
Molecule: ribosomal RNA, 1576 nt
Filed under: Lactiplantibacillus plantarum
Lineage: Bacteria; Bacillati; Bacillota; Bacilli; Lactobacillales; Lactobacillaceae
Description: Lactobacillus plantarum 16S ribosomal RNA
Rfam family: Bacterial small subunit ribosomal RNA
Source: RNAcentral